Molecule: long non-coding RNA, 176 nt
Organism: Oncorhynchus nerka (sockeye salmon)
Lineage: Eukaryota; Metazoa; Chordata; Actinopteri; Salmoniformes; Salmonidae
Exons: 3
Source: RefSeq, a predicted model, not a curated record
GUACUUACCUACUUUAACGCUUUUUACCAAGGAUCCAUGCCCAUUGUGUGAUGAAGCAAAAGAAGUCCUUGAACCAUAUAAACACAGGGUAGAUAUCACACUGCCGGAGAACCAAAUUUGGUGGGACAGAUACAAAUACGACAUCCCAGUCUUCCAUCUGAAUGGACAGUUUCUAA